GCCGGAGUGGUGGAAUAGGUAGACACGAGGGACUUAAAAUCCCUUGCUUUUGCGAGCGUACGGGUUCGAUUCCCGUCUCUGGUA
This 84-nucleotide transfer RNA is filed under the name Janthinobacterium lividum. Its description in RNAcentral is "tRNA-Leu". It matches the Rfam family "tRNA". From Rfam's summary of the family: Transfer RNA (tRNA) molecules are approximately 80 nucleotides in length. Their secondary structure includes four short double-helical elements and three loops (D, anti-codon, and T loops). Lineage: Bacteria; Pseudomonadati; Pseudomonadota; Betaproteobacteria; Burkholderiales; Oxalobacteraceae. RNAcentral also lists the same sequence under 1 other name. The record is from RNAcentral.